UCCUAGACGAUGCGGUUUGCAUUGUUGAUGAUUAUUUUGACUGACGUCGACAUUUAUCAAAAAAUAUUAAAUUCAGAUUAUAAUUGUGUGGAAAAUAUUUCUGGGACUGAAUAGAAGGAAUGAAGUAUUAUACAGAUUGCAAAUUGCGUGAUCAUAGAGUGAGAGCAUUACACAAGUGUCCCGGCAUCUAAG
Sitophilus oryzae (rice weevil) is the source of this 192-nucleotide long non-coding RNA. RefSeq lists it as uncharacterized. The transcript is spliced from 2 exons. Lineage: Eukaryota; Metazoa; Arthropoda; Insecta; Coleoptera; Curculionidae. The record is from RefSeq and is a predicted model, not a curated record.